This 253-nucleotide ribosomal RNA is filed under the name uncultured bacterium. Its description in RNAcentral is "partial 16S ribosomal RNA". It matches the Rfam family "Bacterial small subunit ribosomal RNA", at positions 524 to 776 of the family's 1533-position model. The record is from RNAcentral.
UACAGAGGUGGCAAGCGUUGUUCGGAAUUACUGGGCGUAAAGGGCGCGUAGGCGGCUUGGUCAGUCCCGUGUGAAAUCCCUCGGCUCAACUGAGGAACUGCACGGGAAACUGCCUGGCUUGAGUUCGGGAGAGGGAAGCGGAAUUCCGGGUGUAGCGGUGAAAUGCGUAGAUAUCCGGAGGAACACCGGUGGCGAAGGCGGCUUCCUGGGCUGACACUGACGCUGAUGCGCGAAAGCCAGGGGAGCGAACGGG